UCUCCGUAGGUGAACCUGCGGAGGGAUCAUUACUGAGUGAGGGCUCCGGCCCGACCUCCAACCCCAUGUGAACCGAAACCUGUUGCUUCGGGGGCGACCCUGCCUUCGUGCGAGGCGCCCCCGGAGGCUCAUCAAACACUGCAUCUCUGCGUCGGAGUCUUAAUGAAUUUAAACAAAACUUUUAACAACGGAUCUCUUGGUUCUGGCAUCGAUGAAGAACGCAGC
This 225-nucleotide unclassified non-coding RNA is filed under the name uncultured fungus. Its description in RNAcentral is "sequence contains ITS1, 5.8S rRNA gene". The stretch from base 177 to 225 matches the Rfam family "5.8S ribosomal RNA", at positions 1 to 49 of the family's 154-position model. Lineage: Eukaryota; Fungi. The record is from RNAcentral.